AGAGUUUGAUCCUGGCUCAGGACGAACGCUGGCGGCGUGCUUAACACAUGCAAGUGGAGCGACGAACCAGGGCUUGCCCUGGGGCAGAGCCGCGAACGGGUGAGUAACACGUGGGUUACCUGCCUCGAUGACCGGGACAACCCGAGGAAACUCGGGCUAAUACCGGAUGUGCCCGCAAGGGGAAAGGAAGCUUCGGCCUCCGCAUCGAGAUGGGCCCGCGGCCCAUUAGCUUGUUGGUGGGGUAACGGCCUACCAAGGCAACGAUGGGUAGCUGGUCUGAGAGGACGAUCAGCCACACUGGGACUGAGACACGGCCCAGACUCCUACGGGAGGCAGCAGUGGGGAAUCUUGCGCAAUGCGCGAAAGCGUGACGCAGCAACGCCGCGUGAGGGAUGACGGCCUUCGGGUUGUAAACCUCUUUCAGCAGGGACGAAGCGCAAGUGACGGUACCUGCAGAAGAAGCAC
This 465-nucleotide ribosomal RNA is filed under the name uncultured bacterium. Its description in RNAcentral is "bacterial SSU rRNA". It matches the Rfam family "Bacterial small subunit ribosomal RNA", at positions 8 to 493 of the family's 1533-position model. The record is from RNAcentral.